UCCUUCUUAUGCGCGCGUAUUGACGCGCAGAUCUAUAAAUAGGACUACGAUGUGGCCAAUCACGGCGCGGGAGGGGCGUGGCUUGACGGAAAACGGGUGGGGAGAGGGGAAAAAAACACCGCAUAUCCCCCGAGCGCGUCUUCGCAGACAGCAAUGGCGAAGGAAUACAGAAGAGGUGCUGCAGGCACAGGUCCAGGGUCUCUCCCUCCACUUCAUCCUCCGCCACAGAGUCCGAUAAGGGCCGGGUGGGAAGAGGGCCGUCCUCGGGCAGCGGAGGCCUCAUCUCCCGCAAGAAAAGCUCCAGGAAACGCCGGUUUGGUUUGUCCCAUUGUCCUUCCAGCGAUGUCCACCAAAGUCCAUGUGUAGGUCAAUACAGCAGUCCAGAAGAAUCCAUGUAUGAAUAAAUAAGGUAAUAUAUUAAAAUGAAGAAUGCACUGCC
Molecule: long non-coding RNA, 439 nt
Organism: Pygocentrus nattereri (red-bellied piranha)
Lineage: Eukaryota; Metazoa; Chordata; Actinopteri; Characiformes; Serrasalmidae
Exons: 3
Source: RefSeq, a predicted model, not a curated record